Melospiza melodia melodia is the source of this 287-nucleotide long non-coding RNA. RefSeq lists it as uncharacterized. The record is from RefSeq and is a predicted model, not a curated record. NCBI's taxonomy places the organism in Eukaryota, Metazoa, Chordata, Aves, Passeriformes, Passerellidae. The transcript is spliced from 3 exons.
GGGAAUUGACACAGGAAGAGGACAGAAGCCGAAGCCUUCAGGCCGAAGCACGGCAAGCAGGGAGCGAAGGAGACCUCGAGGCACCUCCUCUAGAUGACUGACUCUUCCUUGUCCUCACAGCAGCCAAAUGAAUCCAGUUACCCUCAACCAACCAAUCCACUCUUCUGUAACAUUCUUAUUGGCUACAGGUAUGGCCUGUUAAAAUCAGGCCUGUUCCUAAUCCUUAAUAAUUGGCUCAGCUGCAACUCUUUAAGGAGGACAGACUGAAUUCACAGUGAAGCAAGUGC